RNAcentral lists this non-coding RNA (853 nucleotides) under Trachylepis punctatissima (montane speckled skink). RNAcentral's name for it is "partial 12S ribosomal RNA". It matches the Rfam family "Bacterial small subunit ribosomal RNA". The record is from RNAcentral. Lineage: Eukaryota; Metazoa; Chordata; Lepidosauria; Squamata; Scincidae.
GUUUUGGUCCUAAACUUGCCAUUGUUUUUUAUCAAAUUUACACAUGCAAGCUUCAACAACCCAGUGAGAAUGCCCAAAACCCCUAGACAGCCAUAAGGAGCAGGCAUCAGGAUCCAGAAGAAUCUAGCCCAAGACGCCUUGCUACGCCACACCCACACGGGUACUCAGCAGUGAAUAACAUUAAGAAAAUGAGCGAAAGCUCGACUUAGUUAUGAUAAACAUGACCGGUAAAUUUCGUGCCAGCCACCGCGGUUAUACGAAAGGUCAAAAACAAUGACCUACGGCGUAAAGCGUGACCAGAGUUCAUCAAAAAAUUUUAAAGCGGAACAAUAUUAAAGUUGUAAAACACCUUAAUAAUUAGACAAUCAACAACAAAAAGACUUUAAACAACGAGAUAGCUUGACUUCACGAAAGCUAAGAAACAAACUAGGAUUAGAUACCCUACUAUGCUUAGCCCUUAACAUAGAUAGCAAACACACAAUGCUAUCCGCCAGAGAACUACAAGUGAAAAACUAGAAACUCUAAGGACUUGGCGGUGCUCCAUACCGUCCUAGAGGAGCCUGUCCUAUAAUCGAUAACCCACGUUUUACCUCACCAUUCCUUGCAAAUCAGCCUAUAUACCGCCGUCGUAAGCCUACCUUAUGAAAGAAUCAAAGUAGGCAAAAUAGUCAUUAACUAGAACGUCAGGUCAAGGUGUAGCCAAUGGAAUGGAAGAGAUGGGCUACACUUUCUAUCAUAGAACAUACGAAUAGCACAGUGAAACCUGUACUUAAAGGUGGAUUUAGUAGUAAUGUAAACAAGAAAAUUUACCUGAAACUCGCUCUGGAGCGCGCACACACCGCCCGUCACCCUC